This 235-nucleotide ribosomal RNA is filed under the name uncultured bacterium. RNAcentral's name for it is "partial 16S ribosomal RNA". It matches the Rfam family "Bacterial small subunit ribosomal RNA", at positions 15 to 244 of the family's 1533-position model. The record is from RNAcentral.
GAUCCUGGCUCAGAUUGAACGCUGGCGGCAGGCCUAACACAUGCAAGUCGAACGGUAACAGGAAGCAGCUUGCUGCUUCGCUGACGAGUGGCGGACGGGUGAGUAAUGUCUGGGAAGCUGCCUGAUGGAGGGGGAUAACUACUGGAAACGGUAGCUAAUACCGCAUAAUGUCGCAAGACCAAAAGAGGGGGGACCUUCGGGCCUCUUGCCAUCGGAUGUGCCCAGAUGGGAUUAG